RNAcentral lists this ribosomal RNA (811 nucleotides) under Starmerella bacillaris. Its description in RNAcentral is "LSU rRNA". It matches the Rfam family "Eukaryotic large subunit ribosomal RNA", at positions 38 to 965 of the family's 3401-position model. Lineage: Eukaryota; Fungi; Ascomycota; Dipodascomycetes; Dipodascales; Trichomonascaceae. The record is from RNAcentral.
GCAUAUCAAUAAGCGGAGGAAAAGAAACCAACAGGGAUUGCCCUAGUAACGGCGAGUGAACAGGCAAGAGCUCAGAUUUGAAAGGCACUUUUGUGCCGUUGUAUUCUGAAGUUAGGGUCCUGAGAAACGAUGCUUAAGUCUUCUGGAAAGGAGCGCCAUGGAGGGUGAUAGCCCCGUCUAGCAUUGACCUCAUAUAGGAUCUUAACAUGGAGUCGAGUUGUUUGGGAAUGCAGCUCAAAUGGGUGGUAUGCUCCAUCUAAAGCUAAAUAUCUGCGAGAGACCGAUAGUAAACAAGUACUGUGAGGGAAAGAUGAAAAGAACUUUGAAAAGAGAGUGAAAAAGUACGUGAAAUUGUUGAAAUGGAAGGGUAGGCCGCUAACCAUGUAGAGCCGUGUUUGGGGGGAAGAUAAAUGCUGUAGAAUGUAGCUCCUCGGAGUAUUAUAGAUGCAGUUCAUAUUCCCACCCGAGCGCGAGGAUCUCAGGUUCUACUAAAUGGUGGUCUACCACCCGUCUUGAAACACGGACCAAGGAGUCUAUUGUCUGCGCGAGUAUUUGGGUGUCAAACCCAUAUGCGAAGUGAAAGCGAAAGGUUCUAACCUUCGGGUUCAGAAUCGGCCGACCGUUUAUAGAAGCGGAUUGAGUAGAGCGUGGAUGAUGGGACCCGAAAGAUGGUGAACUAUGCCUGAAUAGGGUGAAGCCAGAGGAAACUCUGGUGGAGGCUCGCAGCGGUUCUGACGUGCAAAUCGAUCGUCAAAUUUGGGUAUAGGGGCGAAAGACUAAUCGAACCAUCUAGUAGCUGGUUCCUGCCGAA